Molecule: ribosomal RNA, 551 nt
Filed under: Salmonella enterica
Lineage: Bacteria; Pseudomonadati; Pseudomonadota; Gammaproteobacteria; Enterobacterales; Enterobacteriaceae
Also listed under: 3 other names
Description: partial 23S ribosomal RNA
Rfam family: Bacterial large subunit ribosomal RNA
Source: RNAcentral
AGACCCGAAACCCGGUGAUCUAGCCAUGGGCAGGUUGAAGGUUGGGUAACACUAACUGGAGGACCGAACCGACUAAUGUUGAAAAAUUAGCGGAUGACCUGUGGCUGGGGGUGAAAGGCCAAUCAAACCGGGAGAUAGCUGGUUCUCCCCGAAAGCUAUUUAGGUAGCGCCUCGUGAAUUCAUCUCCGGGGGUAGAGCACUGUUUCGGCUAGGGGGCCAUCCCGGCUUACCAACCCGAUGCAAACUGCGAAUACCGGAGAAUGUUAUCACGGGAGACACACGGCGGGUGCUAACGUCCGUCGUGAAGAGGGAAACAACCCAGACCGCCAGCUAAGGUCCCAAAGUCAUGGUUAAGUGGGAAACGAUGUGGGAAGGCCCAGACAGCCAGGAUGUUGGCUUAGAAGCAGCCAUCAUUUAAAGAAAGCGUAAUAGCUCACUGGUCGAGUCGGCCUGCGCGGAAGAUGUAACGGGGCUAAACCAUGCACCGAAGCUGCGGCAGCGAACGUAUCACCCAAGACAACUUUACGGAGUUGACGAUUGACGGAGCGAAG